GUGGACACCGUCCCAGAACAGACGAGUGGAUGGAUCCUCGCAUGUCGUUGCAGCUUUGUCGCCACAAACGAUCGAUAGAUUGUAGUGGUACCUCCCAGGUCCUCCACAGCAAAUGGUAAGAGCGUCCUUUUUAAACCCUGCAACCACAUAAUUGAUGAACUCACCUUCAGUAAAUUUUACCACCACUCCAUUUUGUCAACCUUACUACACAUAGGUAUUUCACAACAAAAAGGUUUGUAAUAGGUUCGGAUGAAUCUAGGAGUAUAGUAGAUCUAACAACAAAGAGCAUAUAUGCAUGUUACUUACAGAAUUUUUCAGGCGACUUGACCAUCUCCGUGACGUGGUUGAACAGAUCGGUGUGGAUGAUGGUCACGUCGGGGUGCUUUGCCCGGAGCUUCUCGAUGGCCUCCCGCAGCAGCGAGUUGUGGAGCAUCACAAUCUCGUUGGGCUCCUUGAGGCAGCCGGUGGUGGCAUCGUAUUCCGACGCGUCGGCGUCGGCG
Molecule: long non-coding RNA, 500 nt
Filed under: Setaria italica (foxtail millet)
Lineage: Eukaryota; Viridiplantae; Streptophyta; Magnoliopsida; Poales; Poaceae
Description: long non-coding RNA (SITA_LNC005526)
Source: RNAcentral